This 254-nucleotide ribosomal RNA is filed under the name uncultured bacterium. RNAcentral's name for it is "partial 16S ribosomal RNA". It matches the Rfam family "Bacterial small subunit ribosomal RNA", at positions 524 to 776 of the family's 1533-position model. The record is from RNAcentral.
UACGGGGGGAGCAAGCGUUGUUCGGAUUUACUGGGCGUAAAGGGCGCGUAGGCGGCCAGCACAAGUCAGUUGUGAAAUCUCCGAGCUUAACUCGGAAAGGUCAACUGAUACUGUGCGGCUAGAGUGCGGAAGGGGGAACUGGAAUUCUUGGUGUAGCGGUGAAAUGCGUAGAUAUCAAGAGGAACACCUGCGGCGAAGGCGGGUUGCUGGGCCGACACUGACGCUGAGGCGCGAAAGCCAGGGGAGCGAACGGG